This 1219-nucleotide long non-coding RNA is filed under the name Cricetulus griseus (Chinese hamster). Its description in RNAcentral is "lncRNA (ENSCGRG00015030423.1)". Lineage: Eukaryota; Metazoa; Chordata; Mammalia; Rodentia; Cricetidae. The record is from RNAcentral.
GUCACCUUGGGGGUGGGCUUUGAGGUAUCCUAUGCUUAAGCUACAACCAAUGAGACAGUUCAUUUCCUGUUUCCUGCCCAUCAAGAUGUAGAACUCUCAGAUCCAGCACUGUGUCUGCCUGUAUUCCACCAUGUCCCACCAUGAUGAUAAUGGACUAAACCUCUGAAAGUUGUCCUGAGUACCUUCCAUGGCAGCCAGUCAGCAUUUUAAGGAGCCCCCUCUGGCAACUGCAAACCUCAGGGCUUGUCUGCGGUUCACUGCCUGUGUUGAAAGAGGAAAAGUUACUGCCCUCGUCCAGACAGUGACUUUGAAGAAGAAGCGAGGCAUUGUGUGUGUGAUUCAGCCCAGUGUGUGCUUGCCUUCCACAGUCAGACUUUCUUAUCACAUCAUCUGAGAUCACCAAAGACCUUGGAAAAUUUGAACCAGCUCCUACAUGCCUCUUGUACUGUAGCUGAUGAGCAAAACCCUUGAAUCUGUUAUCUCAGUGAAUAUCAUUUGAAUACCCCUGCCCUGUCAAGGAAUUUCUGCUACGCGGUACAAGGACCUGAUUGGUUCCAGGGAAACUGUCAUUUGGGGCCACAGAAUCCACUUGCUGUACUUCUACUUUUCUCCAAAUGUUCAGGCAGCAGGGCACCAGUGGGUUUUAAUUCUCCAGCGCCCCACGCAGACAAGGGGCAGAAUCUCAUUGUGUCUCUCAGAUGGCAAAUAGCAGCGGACCCACCCACACCCAAGGAUCCUUGGAGGUCAAUGGAGAAGCUGAGCACUUUUCUGAACUAUCACACUGUCACCAAACUCUCUCUGCUCCUGUCUCUUGUUAAGGUUCCCUGGACAGCACAAGGUUCAAAAGUCUCAGGGUCCUCUUCUGCAGUCUCAAUUGCCUAAGCACUUCUACGAUGGCUCUUCCUUUUAGAUGUUCUGCUCAUAUCUUCUUCUCAGAGCCUUCAUCCAGCAGCUGAUGGAAGCAGAAGCAGAUACCCACAGCUAAAAACUGAACUGAACUUGAAUCCAGUUGCAGAGAAGGAGGAUUGUGAGCAAAGGGGUCAAGAUCACGCUAGUGAAACCCACAGAAAUAGCUGACCUGAACAAGAGGGAGCCCUUGGGCCCCAGACUGAUCACUGGGAAACCAGCAUGGAACUGAUCCAGACCCCAUAAAUGUGGGUAUCAGUGAGGAGGCCUCAGAAAUAUAUGGGGCCUCUUGUAGUAGAUCAGUACUUAUCCC